This 465-nucleotide ribosomal RNA is filed under the name uncultured bacterium. RNAcentral describes it as "partial 16S ribosomal RNA". It matches the Rfam family "Bacterial small subunit ribosomal RNA", at positions 28 to 507 of the family's 1533-position model. The record is from RNAcentral.
GACGAACGCUGGCGGCGUGCUUAACACAUGCAAGUCGAACGGAAAGGCCCUGCUUGCAGGGUACUCGAGUGGCGAACGGGUGAGUAACACGUGGGUGAUCUGCCCUGCACUUCGGGAUAAGCCUGGGAAACUGGGUCUAAUACCGGAUAUGACCUUCCAUGUAGUGUGGGGGGUGGAAAGAUUUAUCGGUGUGGGAUGAGCCCGCGGCCUAUCAGCUUGUUGGUGGGGUAAUGGCCUACCAAGGCGUCGACGGGUAGCCGGCCUGGGAGGGUGGACGGCCACAUUGGGACUGAGAUACGGCCCAGACUCCUACGGGAGGCAGCAGUGGGGAAUAUUGCACAAUGGGCGGAAGCCUGAUGCAGCGACGCCGCGUGGGGGAUGACGGCCUUCGGGUUGUAAACCUCUUUCGACAGGGACGAAGCUUCGGUGACGGUACCUGUAUAAGAAGCACCGGCUAACUACGUG